Long non-coding RNA from Passer montanus (Eurasian tree sparrow), 1891 nucleotides. RefSeq lists it as uncharacterized. The record is from RefSeq and is a predicted model, not a curated record. The transcript has 2 exons. NCBI's taxonomy places the organism in Eukaryota, Metazoa, Chordata, Aves, Passeriformes, Passeridae.
GUUGUUGGGAUGGGAUAGGGGUGGAGCUGUUGUCAACAAGUAGCAUUGUAGGGGAAGCAGUAGGAGUUUGUAUCCUGUCUCAUGUGACUGCUAAAAAUAAGGUGCCUGCUGAGUGUUUCUCUGUAAGCUCAGGACUUCUCUGGUGCAGCAGUGAGAGUUUUCCAGCCCAGCUGGGUGUCAUGCCAGCCUCUGCAGGAUGUCCCCGGGGCACAGCCUCCCCACCCUGCUCUCCAUCACAGCUCACUGCCCUCCCGGCCCCGCGUCUCCCCCUGACGCUCAGCGGGACGUGUUGGGAUCUGCCUGUGCCACCUCCCCUGGAAAGGGCUUCCUGUGCUCUCACCCUGCCCUGCUUAAUCAGCGCUCCCUUUGGGGUGUGAGUCUCUCCCUGGCUCGGCUGGCAGUAGUAGUGGACAUGGCAGUGCUGGGUAAAUGGUUCGACUCGAUGAUCUUGGAGUCUUUUCCAACCGGAACAGUUCUGUGAUUCCUGGGUUUGGCAUUUUACCACAGCCCUGGAUGAAAGAGCGUCCCAGAAGAGGGAGAGGGGAGGCAGUGGAGCAGUGCUGUGAAUGAUCCAUCCCUCUCCAAUACCAAAGUGGUGUGGCCAAAGCUGUUACAGGCUUCAUGCAGAGACCUGGAUGUGCUUUCAGGUGGUUUUGGACAAAGAACAGGACAGGCAAAGUGCAGCUGGGCAUCUUCCCUCAACCCCCUGACCCCAGGGCUGGUGUCUGAAGGACCCACUGCUCUGUCUUCCAUGCUUGUGUGGGUCUCUUCCAAAGAAACACAUCAAAAGUCAAGGAAGGGGAAAGGCUGGAUCCUUCCUCCCCAAAACACAGGAACAAUGGGAUCUGAUCAACAGCUGAGCCCGGAGACAGCCAGGGAGGUAACACAGCCUUGCUCCCCAUGAGCACUUCAGCACCUGGAGGCUUUGCCUGGGAUUUUUGGAGACACCCAUGAGCUGUUCUGCACCCCAUGCCACCCAUUCGGGGUUAAAGGAGUGUGGGGGAGAGGAGAUGUCCCCUCCUCCAGAGCUCUCUGCUAAGGGAGGCCUUGCAGAGCAGCUCCCACACGCCUUGUUUUUCUUGCAAGCCUGAUGUAGAGUGGAGCCAAGGUGGUGCAAGAGAGGAGAGGAGGCAGGAAUGAAAGGGCUGAGGUUUGCCUCGGGGCCUCUUUGCAAUCAGCCAGCAAUUCUCUCCCCUCUCCACCACCUCCAGCAGCAGCAGCAGCGUGUUUGAACCGCAGGCUUGUCGAGUCCUCUCGAGGCCUGUACAAACACAGCAGCAGGUAAAUAAAGCUGCCUGGCGCUGGGAACAAACUGCUGCAAAGACAGGUAAUGCAGCAGGGGCUGUGUCUGCCCCAGGGGCUGGGAUGGGGCAGGAAUGGGGCAGGAAUGGGGAUAGUGUGAGGCACCUUCCCCGUGCCGGGGCUCCUGCCCGGGGAGACGGCACCAGCGGGUGCUGGCAGGAACCCAGACUGUGCCACCAGAGCUGUGCAGGCAGAAAAACCACAUCUAGAGAUGGAAGGGUGAAGGUUAUGGUCAUGAACAUCAUCUCAAUGUAUCGUUUUUUUCUUAUGUUUCUCCCUGGGCUGAAAUAGUCACCCGGGGCCAUCCACUUCCAAAGGAAAUGGAUGAGCACCGUGUCUGCAGAAACCCUGCAAGCAACCUCUGCCUGAUCUUGGAGGUGACAAGGAAGAGUUGAUGUUCACCUUUCAGCCCUCUCACCUGCCAGGGAGCAGCUGGGGGACCUGGAGCAGGCUCAGCUCCAUGGAGCCCUCCGUGUCACACACCACCUCAAACCCACCUCCCAAGCCUACAGGGUUUUCUUUAAAGAACACCCCUGAGAUUGGAAAGAGACAAAGAAAUGCCUGUAAGCUUUAGGUCAACAGCCAGAGA